AUGCUUCCCCAUUUACCUCAUGCCUCCUCACUCCAUUUCCCUGCAUCCAAGCGUGCUGGAGCAGUACAGUUUCUGGAGAGGCCAGGCCUUUGCACCAGGAGUGGGACCUGCUUUUUUGCAGGAGAACAUCCCUUGACUGUAUCACAAUGCAAGAGAGUACUUUGGCUGAAGGGGUUGGCUGUGCACAAGGAAGGUGUGCUGUCCUCACUGAUCACAGGACCCACCACUGUGAUACGAAACAGACCACUAUGGUGAAGUCUUGCUGGAUACAUUUUUACCUCUUGAGAUGUCAUUUUCAGUGCAUUAAUCUUGUAGGUGCACUGAAACUCUCCUCACCCGUUUCUAUUUUGGGGUGAUCUGUGUGAAUAUAUAGGAAAAUAUCUGGUGUGAAAAGGUGCUUGAGGCUAGAAGCAAUUAAACUGAGGAUGGGGCUGUGGUUUCUUUCAAGUAAAUGUGUCAUCCACACUUCUGCAUCCUGGUCAUUUUGGUAGGAUCCUGUAUGGCAUUAUUUUUUUUUUUUUCUGAGGAAAUGAUGAAUUUCCAUCUCCCCAGCCAUUUGCACCUUUUUUUUGAUUCAAGCAGGAAUACUGGAAUAUGAUCCUCCAUGAUAUGCCCAGGACAUACACACAUACUUCAGGUAGAUUUAGGUGGAUCCAACAGCCUACAGAUUUACAGUAAUUUGCUUGGUAUAACUCACUGUUGCUUUCAUUCAAGAAAACAUCUGAAGAUCUGGAUUUCCAUACACUAGAAAGCCACUGUACUUGAGUGCUUUCUUUGGACUGGAUGGGAUAGUUUAACUUAUGCUCCUAGGAGCAAAACCAUUUUUCUUGACCAUUUCUUCUUCCCUCCUGAUCUGUGACAAUCCAAGACUCUUCAGUUUGUGCUGGAAAGUCUCUUUCCAUCUUUUCUUGUCCACCUGUUUGUCUCUUUGAGGGCCUCUUUGAGGCCAAGAGGGAAAACUGCUUUUAGACUCUUGAGACAAUUCAAGUAAGCUGGUUUGACUUUUCUUUAGGAUAACCAGGAUGUGCUUUUGAAGACUAGUGUAAGUACUUUAAAAAUACUGUCUCAUGAUAAAAC
RNAcentral lists this long non-coding RNA (1077 nucleotides) under Parus major (Great Tit). RNAcentral's name for it is "lncRNA (ENSPMJG00000011151.1)". Lineage: Eukaryota; Metazoa; Chordata; Aves; Passeriformes; Paridae. The record is from RNAcentral.